UGCCCGCGGCGAGGUUCGGCGCGAUCGACUCGGAGUAGAUCGUGCGCUGGUGCUGGUCCGGCGCGAGGAUC
This 71-nucleotide transfer RNA is filed under the name Microbacterium aerolatum. RNAcentral's name for it is "tRNA-Pro". Lineage: Bacteria; Bacillati; Actinomycetota; Actinomycetes; Micrococcales; Microbacteriaceae. The record is from RNAcentral.